AUUUUUAAUUGAAAUCUGGAAUGAAUGGUUGGAUGAGAUAUAAACUUUUUUAAGUUAAUCUAUUGAAUUUUAUUUUUUAGUUAAAAAGCUAAAAUUCUAAAAUGGGACGAGAAGACCCUAUAGAAUUUUAUAAUUAAUUUUUAUAAAUAAUUUAUUUAAAUUAUAUUUAUAAAUAAUUAUUUAUUUUAUUGGGGAGAUAAUUAAAUUUAAUUAACUUUAAUUUUUAUAUUCAUUAAUAUAUGUAUAUAUGAUCCUAUUAUAUAGAUUAAAAAUAUAAAUUACCUUAGGGAUAACAGCAUAAUUUUUUUAAAAAGUUCUUAUUUUUAAUAAAGAUUAU
This 337-nucleotide ribosomal RNA is filed under the name Stomatosema obscurum. RNAcentral describes it as "partial 16S ribosomal RNA". Lineage: Eukaryota; Metazoa; Arthropoda; Insecta; Diptera; Cecidomyiidae. The record is from RNAcentral.